AUUGAACGCUGGCGGUAUGCUUUACACAUGCAAGUCGAACGGCAGCACGGGCUUCGGCCUGGUGGCGAGUGGCGAACGGGUGAGUAAUAUAUCGGAACGUACCCAGAAGUGGGGGAUAACGUAGCGAAAGUUACGCUAAUACCGCAUACGAUCUAUGGAUGAAAGCAGGGGACCGCAAGGCCUUGUGCUCCUGGAGCGGCCGAUAUCUGAUUAGCUAGUUGGUGAGGUAAAGGCUCACCAAGGCGACGAUCAGUAGCUGGUCUGAGAGGACGACCAGCCACACUGGAACUGAGACACGGUCCAGACUCCUACGGGAGGCAGCAGUGGGGAAUUUUGGACAAUGGGCGCAAGCCUGAUCCAGCAAUGCCGCGUGAGUGAAGAAGGCCUUCGGGUUGUAAAGCUCUUUUGUCAGGGAAGAAACGGUAGAGGCUAAUAUCCUUUGCUAAUGACGGUGCCUGAAGAAUAAGCACCGGCUAACUACGUG
Molecule: ribosomal RNA, 484 nt
Filed under: uncultured bacterium
Lineage: Bacteria
Description: partial 16S ribosomal RNA
Rfam family: Bacterial small subunit ribosomal RNA
Source: RNAcentral